Pelobates cultripes (western spadefoot toad) is the source of this 472-nucleotide non-coding RNA. Lineage: Eukaryota; Metazoa; Chordata; Amphibia; Anura; Pelobatidae. The record is from the annotation of a GenBank genome assembly.
CUAAGAGUUCAGUCAAGCCAGCUGUCAGACGCCGGGCAAGGGGGUGACUUUGUGACAUUGGCUUCUUACACUCAAACAUGUCCUUGACAGACACCUGACUGUGGGCAGAUGAGCAGGAACUGCUCAAGACGAGAGACGGAGGGGCGGAUGGUUGAGAGGGGGCAAGGAGGACAGCAGUGGUUAAUGUGGCUGAAGAUGCUGGACCAGGAGAAGGAUGGUGGCUUUUCGAGUUCAGAACUUUUCGAGUUCAGGAUACGUGGCCUCUGAACACUGGGCAUUAUUCUAGGGCCAAAGGGAAUCACAGCACCACGACCACCACGGUUUUUUUAGUGGUACUAUGCGUGCAAGCUACUGUGACAACAGAUAUGAGUGGCACUGUGCAGUGGCAGAAGUUGGCAGAGUAGAUGCUGUAGGCCUGACACACACACGCUUGCAGACAACUAACUGCUAUUCAAUCUAUUACAGUCGAAAU